This 192-nucleotide non-coding RNA is filed under the name Clostridium sp. RNAcentral's name for it is "6S RNA". It matches the Rfam family "6S / SsrS RNA". From Rfam's summary of the family: E. coli 6S RNA was the first non coding RNA to be sequenced, but its function was unknown until recently. It consists of 184 nucleotides that fold into an extended hairpin structure with a large single-stranded internal bulge. The record is from RNAcentral. Lineage: Bacteria; Bacillati; Bacillota; Clostridia; Eubacteriales; Clostridiaceae.
UAAUUUCUGAAAUAUGCGUUAAGCUCUUAUUUUGAACCUACAUUUUAAUUUAGGGAGUUCAAUAUUUAAAUGAGGAAAUGUACCUUUCUGUGAGUCCUUUUAAGGCAUCAAAGGCGAUUGAAGCAUUUGUGAGUACACCCACCUAUCUGAGGAUAGGGAUCAAAAUUAGAGUACCGGUAUUUUGGAUUUUUA